RNAcentral lists this ribosomal RNA (402 nucleotides) under uncultured bacterium. RNAcentral describes it as "bacterial SSU rRNA". It matches the Rfam family "Bacterial small subunit ribosomal RNA", at positions 355 to 774 of the family's 1533-position model. The record is from RNAcentral.
UGGGGAAUAUUGGACAAUGGGCGCAAGCCUGAUCCAGCCAUGCCGCGUGAGUGAUGAAGGCCUUAGGGUUGUAAAGCUCUUUCGACGGGGAAGAUAAUGACGGUACCCGCAGAAGAAGCCCCGGCUAACUUCGUGCCAGCAGCCGCGGUAAUACGAAGGGGGCUAGCGUUGCUCGGAAUCACUGGGCGUAAAGCGCACGUAGGCGGCUUACUAAGUCAGGGGUGAAAUCCUGGAGCUCAACUCCAGAACUGCCUUUGAUACUGGUGAGCUUGAGUUCGGGAGAGGUGAGUGGAACUGCCAGUGUAGAGGUGAAAUUCGUAGAUAUUCGCAAGAACACCAGUGGCGAAGGCGGCUCACUGGCCCGAUACUGACGCUGAGGUGCGAAAGCGUGGGGAGCAAACA